Molecule: long non-coding RNA, 1096 nt
Filed under: Amborella trichopoda
Lineage: Eukaryota; Viridiplantae; Streptophyta; Magnoliopsida; Amborellales; Amborellaceae
Description: long non-coding RNA (ATRI_LNC004250)
Source: RNAcentral
GACUUAAAAAAUUGGAUAAAUACAUAUAAAAAAAAUACACCAUAUCAAACCUACUUAAAUACAUAUAAAAAAAUACACUGAAGCUAGAUGAAGCCGAUAAAAUUACAGGGUUUGAUAGCAGUUUCCCCUUUUCUCUCUAGAAAUUUUUGGAUUCACUAAUUUUUAAAUCAAAUUUAUGUGAAAAUCAAACCAUUUUUUUAGAAAAAAAGACGAUUAACACUACAAACAAACCUCAACUUUAUCUUUCUGGGAUUGAUUAUGGGAAAGAUACCGUAACUCCUUAUCCAAGAUGAGAGGCAAAAGCUGACGUUUUUUUUUCUUUUGGCCUGACUUGGGAUCUCAUUGGCCUUUUGACCAGCUUUUCUUGAACGAAAAUUUGACCUGAAUCUACAGAUGAGUAAUGGACCUCGACGCUUGAUUUCUCUUCACCGUCUACUCCACUCCAUGCUGAAUCACCACAUAAUACUCCCUCUUCUUCAAUAAUCCCGACACCUUUAUCAUCACAGAACCGUAGCCUCAGGUUAAGGUCGAUUCCCAGACCAUUUUUCUGACGAUAAAUCGUGUUUCCGGCCACUGAGCCUUAAAUUUCAGGGAGCUUGAUUCUUCGAAGAAAUUUUCAGGUUGUGUUAAAUUCUCUGAACGAGAAGAAGAUCCAGCCAGCAAAAUGGUGCUUAUGAUCUUUCUCAGGUGCGUUUGAGCACUGGAGUGGCCUUUGAUGAAAGAAAUACAGGAAUCGGCACCAGAAACCAAGAACUAAGCGGAUGAAGAUCUUACCUUUCUCUGAUGGAUAUUUUCCUCCAUUUUUCGUACACCUCACUCCUUGAUCGAACGCUUCGUCUUAGGUUUGGAGACUCUGGUUUAUUCGCAGAAGUUGGUUUCUUCAAAAGCGGUUUUUUCAAGUGGUUUUUUAAGGCCGCCAUAAAGUUUCAGAUAAUAGUUUCCUUAAGAGAUAGAAAUCGAUGGAGAGAGAGAGAAAGUUCUUCACAGAAUGAGAAAGAGAUCUUCACACGCAGAGAGAGAUCAUCACAGAGAGAUAGUAGUUACCCUCUCUCUAAUUUCGCAGACGUUUUUUUGGACUCGUUUUAUUCGUUUUUCA